RNAcentral lists this ribosomal RNA (500 nucleotides) under uncultured Glomeromycotina. RNAcentral describes it as "partial small subunit ribosomal RNA". It matches the Rfam family "Eukaryotic small subunit ribosomal RNA", at positions 591 to 1092 of the family's 1831-position model. Lineage: Eukaryota; Fungi; Glomeromycota. The record is from RNAcentral.
CCAAUAGCGUAUAUUAAAGUUGUUGCAGUUAAAAAGCUCGUAGUUGAAUUUCGGGAUCAGUAGGUCGGUCAUGCCUCUGGUAUGUACUGGUCUCACUGGUUCCUCCUUCCUGAUGAACCGUAAUGCCAUUAAUUUGGUGUUGCGGGGAAACUGGACUGUUACUUUGAAAAAAUUAGAGUGUUUAAAGCAAGCUAACGCUUGAAUACAUUAGCAUGGAAUAAUGAAAUAGGACGCUCGAUCCUAUUUUGUUGGUUUCUAGGAUUGACGUAAUGAUUAAUAGGGAUAGUUGGGGGCAUUAGUAUUCAAUUGUCAGAGGUGAAAUUCUUGGAUUUAUUGAAGACUAACUACUGCGAAAGCAUUUGCCAAGGAUGUUUUCAUUAAUCAAGAACGAAAGUUAGGGGAUCGAAGACGAUCAGAUACCGUCGUAGUCUUAACCAUAAACUAUGCCGACUAGGGAUCGGACGGAGUUAAUUUUAUAAUGACGCGUUCGGCACCUUACG